AGAGCGCAGUGCGGCGCACUUCAACGAUCUCAGUCGGAUGUAGACAACAAUCGGCAGCAGAACAGAACACAUCACAAGGUAGACAGAUCUUAUUGGGGCCAUACUUAUACCCCGUGCAUCGACAAUACCUACCUGUAUUACCUGAGCUCCUGAGAUUCCGGGCGACAUGUGGAUGACGGGAAGCAAGCAGCGGCGGUGCAAUUUUAGCAGUAGCAGAAGGAAUGUGGCAAGAAGGACAUUUGGCAGUUGUAAAAACAAGUUUGCAAUCGUUAUGCAUUUUGCUUGGAUUUAUUUAUAGACGCGGUAUUGGUUUUAAGUAUUAAAUACAUGAGAGAUACAAUUAAACAACAAAAGAGUGUACGCGAGUGUUGGUUCUUACCAAAUAUUCAAAUGAAAACAAAUCAAUUCAGUUUCAAAGACAUCGUAAAGUGAUCGAACAUAAAAACACAUCGGAUAAACAUAAACAUUACAGAUAAAAGACAGAUAAGACUUAAAACGAAGGUCGCAUGAGUUUUUAUGAUUAAUUUUUUAGUAAAGCUUCUCGCCACAAAGGAAAACGUGUAACAAAAAGUAUUAAAAUUGGCGCAAAAGCGGCAUUUACUUCGAGAUUCGUUUGGAUUUUGUACACGAAAUGGAUGAUUGAUUGCUGGUGAUCGAUUACGAAAGUGUGUGACAAACAAUAGAGUAACGAAACGAAUUAGUAAUAAUAAAAAGCGGUAAUAAAAAAUGAAUAAUAAAAUCUCAUGCAACAUCACUACAAAAUAAAUAAAAUUCAAUUAAACGUAAAUUCAAUUAAAGUAAACAAUAUAAUAAUCAUUUUAACAUCGUCUACUAUCGAAGUCAUCAUAGAUGGACCGAAGGACUGGAGCGUACGAUUGUCUGUUCGGAGUUGCUGGGGGACUACGGAACCUUAAUCAUCGCUUAAAAUUCGAAAUCUGCCUGGCAGCUAAAUAUAAAUAUAAAUCUCGGUGCAUCUAUGAAUCACAGAGGCUCUCGGCUUGAUGACUGAACAGCCGUAACUGAUUAAUCUAAUUAAAUUCUUUUCUGCACCAUUAACAGAAUCAUCAAUUCAUGUUCUUCUCUAAUGACCAAGAGGAUGAGUCGCCCGACUAACAUCGGUAUAUCUCUCAUCUCUGCCUGAUCCACCUUAUAGCAGCAGUAGCAACAACAAGAGGUAAUCUAUCAUGAUGUUUUCCUAUAGAACCUAGAACCUAGAACAUAGUACCUAAACCAUCCACGUAUGCCUAAGCAAAUAUAUUUAUUCGGUUUCGUUG
Drosophila sechellia is the source of this 1274-nucleotide long non-coding RNA. RefSeq lists it as uncharacterized. NCBI's taxonomy places the organism in Eukaryota, Metazoa, Arthropoda, Insecta, Diptera, Drosophilidae. The transcript is spliced from 2 exons. The record is from RefSeq and is a predicted model, not a curated record.